This 400-nucleotide long non-coding RNA is filed under the name Coccomyxa subellipsoidea. RNAcentral's name for it is "long non-coding RNA (CSUB_LNC000356)". Lineage: Eukaryota; Viridiplantae; Chlorophyta; Trebouxiophyceae; Coccomyxaceae. The record is from RNAcentral.
GUCCAGUUGUACCCUUGGGCCGAGCUGCUCCCUAAGAAACCACGCCGAUGCGCUACCACCCACUCCUGCUCCGAUGAUAGCUACAUUGUACUUCUCAGCUGCCCCAGCUUCAGCUGGGUUCUUGAACCCAUCAACUCCGAUCAAAAGCAGACCAAAUAUUAUAGGGAUGCCCAACAUACAGCACCCCGAUCUGAUAACUUUACAGACAAGUAUCUUCAACAAUUAUAAUUAUACAGCACUUUCAUUCUCUCAUGAAAAUGGUAUCACGCAGCAGAUCUGACGCCAAGACUCGCAGUGAAACAAAUGCCACUUUUUAUGGUGCCGCCCUUGUUCGAGAGACAGAGCACCUUUCAGCUUGAACUUUCUUAGGACGCUUCUCCUGGGAUUGACAAGCUGUAAA